RNAcentral lists this long non-coding RNA (2558 nucleotides) under Homo sapiens (human). RNAcentral's name for it is "HSALNT0401239". Lineage: Eukaryota; Metazoa; Chordata; Mammalia; Primates; Hominidae. The record is from RNAcentral.
AGACGUCUCUGUGAAAUAGAAGUAACCACACUGAACCUCAGAGAAGCAUGACUCCUUCGGUCUCUAGUCCCUACUUUUCUCCAGAUGUGGUAGAGUGGCAAAAGACCCGGGAUGUCCACAAGGGAAAUCCAGGAGUUGAGAUUUUCUAGGAUCAGCCACCAUCCUGAUCUUGAACUAAAGCAAUUCCAGGUACCACUAGGAUUUGGUGCUGAUAUUCACAAAACAACUGAGGCCUGAAAAGGGCACAGACUGGCAGGGUUCAGUGACCCGGAGUAAAGAAGGAAACACUUCCCAACUACUCUGGACCUCAGUCUCCCCAUCUCGAAAAUAUCCUCUUAUUUCCUUACCUACCUCCCAAUGUCAGGUUCUGAAGAGCUGAGGAGGAUGUGAAGACCAUUAGGAAGACACUGAACAUCAGUAAUAAAAGAUGCCAUCCUACAGUGGGGACACCACCAACAGCAUCCUCUGAAAUGCUACCCUCCACCAUCCCCUCCCUUGCUAGACCCUCAACCUUUCCUCGCAUGCUUUCAGCCUUAGGCGCAAAGCUUUUCCCCUCCACAGAUCCCCCCACCGCACCCCUCAAGUGGGACUUCAGACCCUUAGAAAGUCCACCCGGCCUUCCUCUUGGCCAGUUCUCGAUCCACCCCCUUAAAGAGAUCCCUCACAGAUUCUCACCCUGCUUCAGCAUUCGCCCCCACCUCCGUGAGUCCCUGCUUGGAUAGCGUUCCCCCGAGUGGCCCGGCCUCAGCAGGUACUCUCCCUAACUUGUCCCCACGUUCCUCAGCACAGUCUCACCACAGCGAGUGCUCCCUCUAACCGGUCCCAAGUCUAACCUCCUUAGCAGAUGCUCCCCUCAGCCGGACCCUCACCCACCAGACGUCCCCCCCCUCACUCAGCAGGUGCCCCAUCGGCUGGGUCGCUUAGCUCCGGGGACUCCCACACAGGUGUAUCCCCUCAACCAGUUCCCGCCUUUUCUUCCCCUGACCCCAUGCCCGUCCUCUUAGCCAGUGGCCCCUCACCGGCGCGGCGGGUUCCUCAGCUGUACCGUCUCCAUGGCGCUGCCAGCAGCCGCCCAGACCCGCUCACUGCUCCAUCCUCCCGCGGACCUCCUGAGCCCGCCCCGCAGACCCUCCCACACUUCCGCUUUCCGCCCCUACCGGAAGCGGCGCGCGGCGCGGGAGCGGGGCGGAGCCACGGCCCUGAUCACGUGGUUCGGGCGUGAGUCUUGUGGCGCGGUGGGGCGCGGACCCGGAACCGCCAAGUGGUGAAGGCGCCUCCAGGCGGUGCCCGCUGGUCUCUAGAGUGUCAGUGGCGCUGUCUUCCUGCGUUACCGGAGCGCACAAAAUACUCGGUCCCCAGGCCGAGAACGCACCUCUACCUGGGUCCUGGGUCCCAUUUCACAGACUGAGAUGCGUGAAGCGCCUCCUUUAGAAGAGCUGACAAUUCUUAGCAAACCAAGUUUUGCGUGAUUUUGGGGAGGCGGCGCUGCCCCAGGAACGCCUGGAGGUAUUUGUGGUUUUCUGCCGCUUACCUGGUUGAACUCUGGUCCCAACGGGCCCCCUGCACAUUUUCUCCUACAAUGCAUCAACGCGCAAAUUGCCCCACUGUCUUUCUUAAAGGCCUCCCCUUUAAGUCAGUUUGCAGACAUAAAAAUAAGCAACAUUAAUUAAGCAUUUGCCGUGUACUUGUCUUCAUAUAUUAUCUCAUUUAAUCCCCUGUGUCAAGCCGAUAAGGUCAUCCCCGUUUUUAUUUAUUUAAUGAUUUAACACAGUCCCUAAACGUUUUCAGUGCUUUACCUCAUUUAAUACUCCUAACAACCUAGACGGUAUUAUUAUUAUUCCUACUUCAUAAGGCCAGAGAGGUGAAGUAUCUAGCCCAAGGUCACAUAGCUUAGAGUAUAGGUUUGGGGAUUUAAAUCCAGUUUGGUCUGAUUUCAGGGCCUGCACCACCAAACUGGACAGCCAUGGGUGUGUAACCUCUUUUUGGGCCUGAGAAACAGACCUUUCUCUCCACUCAGAGCUCCGGCUUCAGCUAUUGUGCUUCCGAAUGCCACUACCAUCAGAUAUGCCAUCUACAGAACUUAACACCUGAGCACCCACCCUUCAGGGCAAUAUGGUGAAACCCCUUUUCUACAAAAAACUUAGCCAAGCAUGGCAUAUUUGUGUAAUGCCAUUUGCAUGACCCACAUGGUCACCCUGGACCCCGUGGAUCAGGCCCUGCCUGGUGCCACCACCGCCACUUCUGUGCCAGGCCCCCAGUGUGAUGCAAGUUGCAUGAUGCUCUUUGCUGUAGUGCCUUUUAAUGGCAUAGCUUUGGCAGGUUUGGAGAUGUUCAGAAUAGGCAAAUCCUGUGGUGGAUUUGUGGUUGUCUAAGGCCCUGGUGGAAGGGAGCAUAGGUGAAUUGGAGGGGAUGAUUAAAAGGUGUGAGAUUUCAUUUUGGGGUGAUGAAAAUGUUCUAAAAUUGGUUGUAGUAAUGGUUAUACAACUCUGAAUAUACUAAAAGGCAUUGAAUUGUACACUUUCAAUAUGUGAGUUAUAUCUCAAUAAAGCUAUUUUACA